ACCCCAGCUCAGGCGAGGGUACCC
Molecule: ribosomal RNA, 24 nt
Filed under: Gnetum neglectum
Lineage: Eukaryota; Viridiplantae; Streptophyta; Gnetopsida; Gnetales; Gnetaceae
Description: partial 26S ribosomal RNA
Source: RNAcentral